This 473-nucleotide ribosomal RNA is filed under the name uncultured bacterium. RNAcentral's name for it is "bacterial SSU rRNA". It matches the Rfam family "Bacterial small subunit ribosomal RNA", at positions 329 to 793 of the family's 1533-position model. The record is from RNAcentral.
GCUAUCACUCCUACGGGGAGGCAGCAGUAGGGAAUCUUCCACAAUGGGCGCAAGCCUGAUGGAGCAACACCGCGUGAGUGAAGAAGGGUUUCGGCUCGUAAAGCUCUGUUGUUAAAGAAGAACACGUAUGAGAGUAACUGUUCAUACGUUGACGGUAUUUAACCAGAAAGUCACGGCUAACUACGUGCCAGCAGCCGCGGUAAUACGUAGGUGGCAAGCGUUAUCCGGAUUUAUUGGGCGUAAAGAGAGUGCAGGCGGUUUUCUAAGUCUGAUGUGAAAGCCUUCGGCUUAACCGGAGAAGUGCAUCGGAAACUGGAUAACUUGAGUGCAGAAGAGGGUAGUGGAACUCCAUGUGUAGCGGUGGAAUGCGUAGAUAUAUGGAAGAACACCAGUGGCGAAGGCGGCUACCUGGUCUGCAACUGACGCUGAGACUCGAAAGCAUGGGUAGCGAACAGGAUUAGAUACCCUGGUAG